Molecule: small nuclear RNA, 104 nt
Organism: Marmota monax (woodchuck)
Lineage: Eukaryota; Metazoa; Chordata; Mammalia; Rodentia; Sciuridae
Source: RefSeq, a predicted model, not a curated record
GUGUUCGUUUCAGCAGCACAUAUACUAAAAUCAGAACAAUACAGAAAUUAGCAUGGCCCCUGCGCAAGGAUGACAUGCAAAUUCGUGAAGCGUUCCAUAUUUUU